Molecule: ribosomal RNA, 219 nt
Filed under: uncultured bacterium
Lineage: Bacteria
Description: partial 16S ribosomal RNA
Rfam family: Bacterial small subunit ribosomal RNA
Source: RNAcentral
UAAUGUCUGGGAAACUGCCUGAUGGAGGGGGGUAACUACUGGAAACGGUAGCUAAUACCGCAUAAUGUCGCAAGACCAAAGUGGGGGACCUUCGGGCCUCAUGCCAUCAGAUGUGCCCAGAUGGGAUUAGCUAGUAGGUGGGGUAACGGCUCACCUAGGCGACGAUCCCUAGCUGGUCUGAGAGGAUGCCAGCCACACUGGAACUGAGACACGGUCCAG